Molecule: ribosomal RNA, 247 nt
Filed under: uncultured bacterium
Lineage: Bacteria
Description: partial 16S ribosomal RNA
Rfam family: Bacterial small subunit ribosomal RNA
Source: RNAcentral
AUACGAAGGGGGCUAGCGCUGUUCGGAAUUACUGGGCGUAAAGCGCGCGUAGGCGGCUUUGUCAGUCAGGGGUGAAAUCCCGGGGCUUAACCUCGGAACUGCCCUUGAUACUGCAAGACUUGAGUCUGUGAGAGGAUGGUGGAAUACCCAGUGUAGAGGUGAAAUUCGUAGAUAUUGGGUGGAACACCAGUGGCGAAGGCGGCCAUCUGGCACAGUACUGACGCUGAGGUGCGAAAGCGUGGGGAGC